GAAGUAAAAAUCGUAACAAGGUCUCCGUUGGUGAACCAGCGGAGGGAUCAUUACCGAGUUUACAACUCCCAAACCCCUGUGAACAUACCACUUGUUGCCUCGGCGGAUCAGCCCGCUCCCGGUAAAACGGGACGGCCCGCCAGAGGACCCCUAAACUCUGUUUCUAUAUGUAACUUCUGAGUAAAACCAUAAAUAAAUCAAAACUUUCAACAACGGAUCUCUUGGUUCUGGCAUCGAUGAAGAACGCAGCAAAAUGCGAUAAGUAAUGUGAAUUGCAGAAUUCAGUGAAUCAUCGAAUCUUUGAACGCACAUUGCGCCCGCCAGUAUUCUGGCGGGCAUGCCUGUUCGAGCGUCAUUUCAACCCUCAAGCACAGCUUGGUGUUGGGACUCGCGUUAAUUCGCGUUCCCCAAAUUGAUUGGCGGUCACGUCGAGCUUCCAUAGCGUAGUAGUAAAACCCUCGUUACUGGUAAUCGUCGCGGCCACGCCGUUAAACCCCAACUUCUGAAUGUUGACCUCGGAUCAGGUAGGAAUACCCGCUGAACUUAAGCAUAU
This 553-nucleotide ribosomal RNA is filed under the name Fusarium oxysporum. RNAcentral describes it as "eukaryotic LSU rRNA". The stretch from base 202 to 355 matches the Rfam family "5.8S ribosomal RNA". Lineage: Eukaryota; Fungi; Ascomycota; Sordariomycetes; Hypocreales; Nectriaceae. The record is from RNAcentral.